Molecule: ribosomal RNA, 389 nt
Filed under: Architectonicidae sp. H36
Lineage: Eukaryota; Metazoa; Mollusca; Gastropoda; Architectonicidae
Description: partial 16S ribosomal RNA
Source: RNAcentral
CGCUUAGUGAUUUUAUACUAAGUAAAUUCUGCUCGGUGAUUAAAUUUAACAGCAGCGGUAUUUUGACCGUUCAAAGGUAGCAUAAUAAGUUUAGUAAUUGUAAACCUGUCAAUGGGACCAUGGGUUUAUUUAAAUAAUAAUUUAACUAUUAUAGAAAUUAAAAAAAAAGUAAAAAUUCUUUUUUUAUUUUAAGGGACGAUAAGACCCUAGAAUUUUUUACAAAAAUUUAGGUGGGGAAUCUUUGAUUAUUUAACAAUCAAUAGGAAAAAUACUCUAGGGAUAACAGCUUUAUUUUAAAGAAGCUUUAAAGUUUGAGACCUCGAUGUUGAAUUAAGGUUAUUGGUUUUUCAAAAGAAAACUAAUUUAGGUCUGUUCGACCUUGUUCCCUU